This 439-nucleotide ribosomal RNA is filed under the name uncultured bacterium. RNAcentral describes it as "partial 16S ribosomal RNA". It matches the Rfam family "Bacterial small subunit ribosomal RNA", at positions 338 to 795 of the family's 1533-position model. The record is from RNAcentral.
CCUACGGGUGGCAGCAGUAGGGAAUAUUGCUCAAUGGGGGCAACCCUGAAGCAGCAACGCCGCGUGGAGGAUGAAGGUUUUCGGGUUGUAAACUCCUUUUGUUAGAGAAGAUAAUGACGGUAUCUAACGCAUAAGCACCGGCUAACUACGUGCCAGCAGCCGCGGUAAUACGGAGGAUGCGAGCGUUAUCCGGAUUUAUGGGGUUUAAAGGGUGCGCAGGCGGAAGAUCAAGUCAGCGGUAAAAUUGAGAGGCUCAACCUCUUCGAGCCGUUGAAACUGGUUUUCUUGAGUGAGCGAGAAGUAUGCGGAAUGCGUGGUGUAGCGGUGAAAUGCAUAGAUAUCACGCAGAACUCCGAUUGCGAAGGCAGCAUACCGGCGCUCAACUGACGCUCAUGCACGAAAGUGUGGGUAUCGAACAGGAUUAGAUACCCGUGUAGUC